CCUACGGGUGGCAGCAGUGAGGAAUAUUGGUCAAUGGACGAGAGUCUGAACCAGCCAAGUAGCGUGAAGGAUGACUGCCCUAUGGUUUGUAAACUUCUUUUAUAUGGGAAUAAAGUUUUCCACGUGUGGGAUUUUGUAUGUACCCUAUGAAUAAGCAUCGGCUAACUCCGUGCCAGCAGCCGCGGUAAUACGGAGGAUCCGAGCGUUAUCCGGAUUUAUUGGGUUUAAAGGGUGCGUAGGUGGUUUGUUAAGUCAGUGGUGAAAGUUUGUGGCUCAACCGUAAAAUUGCAGUUGAAACUGGAAGUCUUGAGUGCAGUAGAGGUAGGCGGAAUGCGUGGUGUAGCGGUGAAAUGCUUAGAUAUCACGAAGAACUCCGAUUGCGAAGGCAGCUCACUGAACCACAACUGACACUGAGGCACGAAAGUGUGGGUAUCAAACAGGAUUAGAUACCCUAGUAGUC
RNAcentral lists this ribosomal RNA (460 nucleotides) under uncultured bacterium. Its description in RNAcentral is "partial 16S ribosomal RNA". It matches the Rfam family "Bacterial small subunit ribosomal RNA", at positions 338 to 795 of the family's 1533-position model. The record is from RNAcentral.